GAUGAACGCUGGCGGCGUGCCUAAUACAUGCAAGUCGAGCGAACGGACGAGAAGCUUGCUUCUCUGAUGUUAGCGGCGGACGGGUGAGUAACACGUGGAUAACCUACCUAUAAGACUGGGAUAACUUCGGGAAACCGGAGCUAAUACCAGAUGAUAUUUUGAACCGCAUGGUUCAAAAGUGAAAGACGGUCUUGCUGUCACUUAUAGAUGGAUCCGCGCUGCAUUAGCUAGUUGGUAAGGUAACGGCUUACCAAGGCAACGAUGCAUAGCCGACCUGAGAGGGUGAUCGGCCACACUGGAACUGAGACACGGUCCAGACUCCUACGGGAGGCAGCAGUAGGGAAUCUUCCGCAAUGGGCGAAAGCCUGACGGAGCAACGCCGAGUGAGUGAUGAAGGUCUUCGGAUCGUAAAACUCUGUUAUUAGGGAAGAACAUAUGUGUAAGUAACUGUGCACAUCUUGACGGUACCUAAUCAGAAAGCCACGGCUAACUACGUG
RNAcentral lists this ribosomal RNA (497 nucleotides) under uncultured bacterium. Its description in RNAcentral is "partial 16S ribosomal RNA". It matches the Rfam family "Bacterial small subunit ribosomal RNA", at positions 28 to 507 of the family's 1533-position model. The record is from RNAcentral.